This is a long non-coding RNA of Talpa occidentalis (Iberian mole), 681 nucleotides long. RefSeq lists it as uncharacterized. The transcript is spliced from 3 exons. Lineage: Eukaryota; Metazoa; Chordata; Mammalia; Eulipotyphla; Talpidae. The record is from RefSeq and is a predicted model, not a curated record.
UGUCUGUGGAGGAACCCAGCGCGCGGGGUAGGGGGGCAGGGUGCAGGGCUUUAAACUCUAAGGAGGCCCCAACAACAGCAGCAGUGUGAUGAGCAGGGGGGCUGAAGAUACCCACAGUCCCCAGACUGGGUCAGUCCCUGGGGGGCAAUGCCCUGCCAUAGCCGCCUGGUUCUGGUUCCUGGGGCCUGUCAAAUAUCCCAAGGCUGAGUUGGCCUGUUCCGGGGUGCCCAUGACACCCCGGGUGGGGGGCUGUGAUCAGUCCAGAGUUCCUCAGUGGUGCUGAGUCAGAAGAGGGGACCUAAGUCCAGCCUUCCUGGUGCUGAUCGUGUCAAGGACAGACAGAGGCCUAUCGUCUGGACAAAGGAUGGAAAGUCACCCACUGGAGACCGACGGAAGAGGUCUUUGACUCCUUCAUGGCUGGUGCAUGUUCUUGCAGCCCCCUCCCCCACUCCCUCCCGCUCUCCCUCUCCUCAAGAGAUCAGCACAUUGCAAAGACAGGUUGUUGAAUAUUUUCUCUCUCAUCACUAAGAAGGCCUCCCUGCUGGGUGUAAUCAAGAACCAUAAACUCGCCUUGCAGCUCCAGUCGGUGUGAAUCCAGCCCCACUCUGCUCGCCUCGAUUCAGACACGCUCAGGGCCGGCUGACAGCAGGGCUGGACCGAGUCUGAUGCAGCAGUCCUGUG